UAACGCAUUAAGUGCCCCGCCUGGGGAGUACGGCCGCAAGGCUAAAACUCAAAGGAAUUGACGGGGGCCCGCACAAGCGGCGGAGCAUGCGGAUUAAUUCGAUGCAACGCGAAGAACCUUACCAAGGCUUGACAUGUUCUCGAUCGCCGUAGAGAUACGGUUUCCCCUUUGGGGCGGGUUCACAGGUGGUGCAUGGUUGUCGUCAGCUCGUGUCGUGAGAUGUUGGGUUAAGUCCCGCAACGAGCGCAACCCUCGUUCCAUGUUGCCAGCACGUCGUGGUGGGGACUCAUGGGAGACUGCCGGGGUCAACUCGGAGGAAGGUGAGGACGACGUCAAAUCAUCAUGCCCCUUAUGUCUUGGGCUUCACGCAUGCUACAAUGGCCGGUACAAUGGGUUGCGAUACUGUGAGGUGGAGCUAAUCCCAAAAAGCCGGUCUCAGUUCGGAUUGGGGUCUGCAACUCGACCCCAUGAAGUCGGAGUCGCUAGUAAUCGCAGAUCAGCAACGCUGCGGUGAAUAC
This 518-nucleotide ribosomal RNA is filed under the name Micrococcus sp. wged89. RNAcentral describes it as "bacterial SSU rRNA". It matches the Rfam family "Bacterial small subunit ribosomal RNA", at positions 853 to 1369 of the family's 1533-position model. Lineage: Bacteria; Bacillati; Actinomycetota; Actinomycetes; Micrococcales; Micrococcaceae. The record is from RNAcentral.